UGUCCAUGAAAAAUAAGUAGUAUUAAAUUUUGAAAAUGUCAUGAAAAUAAGAAGUUUUAUACAUAAUGUAAUUAAAAGAAAUUAUGGGGACAUAAUUGAAAUAACUAUAAGUUUAAUUAUACUAAUAUUAACCUAAAGUGAGUGGCAUAUAUUAUAUUCAUAAAUCUUAAUUAGUGGAGCAUUAUGGACGUGUAAAAGCACUAAGUGGACAGAUUUUAUGAGGAAAACCAUUCAUUUUCUUCAAUUCCACUUCCAUGGCCGAAUAUGGGUCUCCAUUUUUCCUCCAUGAGAACUCAUCAUGCAAGCUUCAAUCCUCCCCCAUUUUCAACUUAAAACUCAAGGUUCCCUUCAUCAAACUUUGUCUCCACACCAUGGGAAAGCUUUGGGCAGCAAGAAAAAGAAGAAAUUUCAAGGUUUAGCAAGCUCUAAACAAAGGUACUGAAGGUAAAACCAGUAGACUGUCGACUGAGAUUUUUGGAGUCCAGACCUGCAGAAGUGUCAGAAGAGUUCAAGAUUGUCACCUCCUCAGCAAUGCAUGUAGAUAGGGCUCAUUUUAUACAUGUUAUGUAUAUUGUUCAUUCCUAGCACAUUGUAAAUUAUUUGUAUAUCUUGUACGAAAUAAACUCAUGUAAUUAACCUAUGAAUUAUGGAAGCUACUCAAAGUAA
This is a long non-coding RNA of Hevea brasiliensis (rubber tree), 666 nucleotides long. RefSeq lists it as uncharacterized. The transcript is spliced from 2 exons. NCBI's taxonomy places the organism in Eukaryota, Viridiplantae, Streptophyta, Magnoliopsida, Malpighiales, Euphorbiaceae. The record is from RefSeq and is a predicted model, not a curated record.